RNAcentral lists this long non-coding RNA (1591 nucleotides) under Helianthus annuus (common sunflower). Its description in RNAcentral is "hypothetical non coding rna". The record is from RNAcentral. Lineage: Eukaryota; Viridiplantae; Streptophyta; Magnoliopsida; Asterales; Asteraceae.
GUGCUUAUCGAUUUUUCAUCUCUCUCGGCUCUAUGUGCCUUCCAUUUCUAUUUUUCUUUAGUAUAUCAAUUAGUAUAUUCUAAAACUCUGCCUUGUUUUAAGUAUUGUAACUUCCAAUCACCGCUACCCUUUCCGAUUGAUCUGAGUCCCAUAACGCAUGUCAAGGCUCUACCCGACUAAGUUCGUUUGGAUUCUAUCUCGGGACUUCGGGACAAGGUUGAUUUAAGGGUACUAUACUUAACACAAGUGCAAAAUAUAUUUUUAAUAGCCCAAAAGUUAUACCCAAAAUUUAUACCAGGAGUCCUUCUAGUUGAACCCUAAAGUUACACAGUGGGUCCAUUUCUUUUUUUUUUUUCACCAUUUUAUUCUCUUUUUGUGAUUUACCCAAAACUAUUAUUAUUUUAUUUUAUCAAAAGUCAUAUCUAUUAUUUUACCCUAUAGGAAACCCUAAUUGAGACACCCAAGUAAUCCUGCACAACUCCUAAAAUUUUCGUAGCAAUCAGAAUCAGGAUCAGGGCCCCUAAAACUCAAGGGGGUAUUCCCUACUUGACGGUUAUCCAUAUAACUCACUGUAGAAAUUAAAAUUAUUGUUUCCGUCGACUCAGCAAGCCUACCCCUAAACGUGUCCACCCUAGGCUAGAAAAUAGACCCGUCGCGCCACGCGACGGGUGCACAUGUUCCUGUCGCGACACGUGAGGGGGACGAUUUUCCAGCUAUAAAUAGUAGGCUGUGGGACUUGAUUUCUGGAGUUGGAACGACGGAAAAUUUCGUCUUACACUCCGAGUUAUAGCCGUUUUACUAUAAAACACCCACAAUCACGAAUUCUGCUACGAUACAGGGUAAUUACUCGAUCGCUAUUACGAUUCAUUUUCCGGGAUCAAUAUAUCCAAAGAAUGUCUAAGUGCCGCCCAUAUUGGGUUAUGCUUUGUCGUUUGUCGAUAAUUCGAUAAAUGAGUUGAAGCAUUAUACUUUGUCGUUUGUCGAUAAUUCGAUAAAUGAGUUGAAGUAUUAUACUUUGUCGUUUGUCGUUAAUACGAUAAAUGAGUUGAAGUAUUGCACUUUGUCAUUCAUUGUGAGAAUUUGAUCUCGUGAGUUAUCGUAAAAGCUGUAUUGAUCAUUAACCCGGUUUUGUGUGCAUCCUUUCCUAAAUUAGGAUUAUUAGUCUCAAUACACUUACAAUCAAAGUAGAUGCUAAUUCUCAGAAGAAUCUGAACCAUGAAGCUUGUUAAUUCAAAUACUGCAUGCUGAUUUGUAAUUACAGUAGAUUGGAGUAAGGAUUGGAUCCGGCACUAAAAGACUUCAAGAAGUGGCUUAUUUUAUUAAUUAAAUCAAAUUAAGAAAUAUUGUUUUAUUAAAAGCUACCUUUGUAAAACUUGGAAUUUAUUCCAUCCAUUUAAAUAAAAUCCGGUGUUUCUAAACUCUGAUAUUUUUCCUAACUCACGGUCCUGAUGAAAUUUCCACUGCAAUGUUUUUCAAAAUAAUCACCGGUACCACUGGACUGCUCGCGACUUCCGAUUCCGGCUAGAUGGGGUCGGGGGUCGUGACAGUAAAACUGUAAUUUACUCUUAUUAUUUAUAAGUAUAGUUUUUGU